RNAcentral lists this ribosomal RNA (465 nucleotides) under uncultured bacterium. RNAcentral's name for it is "partial 16S ribosomal RNA". It matches the Rfam family "Bacterial small subunit ribosomal RNA", at positions 338 to 795 of the family's 1533-position model. The record is from RNAcentral.
CCUACGGGAGGCAGCAGUGGGGAAUAUUGCGCAAUGGGCGAAAGCCUGACGCAGCGACGCCGCGUGAGGGAUGAAGGUCUUCGGAUCGUAAACCUCUGUCAGCAGGGAAGAACGGUCACUGUGCUAAUCAGCAGUGAAUUGACGGUACCUGCAAAGGAAGCACCGGCUAACUCCGUGCCAGCAGCCGCGGUAAUACGGAGGGGGCGAGCGUUGUUCGGAAUUACUGGGCGUAAAGCGAUCGUAGGCGGUAUGUCAAGUCUAGGGUGAAAGCCCCGCGCUCAACGUGGGAACUGCCUUUGAAACUGGCAAACUGGAGUGUGGAAGAGGAUAGUGGAAUUCCAGGUGUAGGAGUGAAAUCCGUAGAUAUCUGGAGGAACAUCAGUGGCGAAGGCGACUAUCUGGCACAUAACUGACGCUGAGGAGCGAAAGCGUGGGUAGCAAACAGGAUUAGAUACCCGAGUAGUC